CGAACGCUGGCGGCGCGCCUAACACAUGCAAGUCGACCGAGCGAGAGAGAGCUUGCUUUCUCGAGCGAGUGGCGAACGGGUGAGUAACGCGUGAGGAACCUGCCUCAAAGAGGGGGACAACAGUUGGAAACGACUGCUAAUACCGCAUAAGCCCACGGCUCGGCAUCGAGCAGGGGGAAAAGGAGCAAUCCGCUUUGAGAUGGCCUCGCGUCCGAUUAGCUAGUUGGUGGGGUAACGGCCCACCAAGGCGACGAUCGGUAGCCGGACUGAGAGGUUGAACGGCCACAUUGGGACUGAGACACGGCCCAGACUCCUACGGGAGGCAGCAGUGGGGAAUAUUGCACAAUGGGGGAAACCCUGAUGCAGCGACGCCGCGUGGAGGAAGAAGGUCUUCGGAUUGUAAACUCCUGUUGUUGGGGAAGAUAAUGACGGUACCCAACAAGGAAGUGACGGCUAACUACGUG
RNAcentral lists this ribosomal RNA (464 nucleotides) under uncultured bacterium. RNAcentral's name for it is "partial 16S ribosomal RNA". It matches the Rfam family "Bacterial small subunit ribosomal RNA", at positions 30 to 507 of the family's 1533-position model. The record is from RNAcentral.